CAGGCUUAACACAUGCAAGUCGAGGGGCAGCAUGGUCUUAGCUUGCUAAGGCCGAUGGCGACCGGCGCACGGGUGAGUAACACGUAUCCAACCUGCCGUCUACUCUUGGACAGCCUUCUGAAAGGAAGAUUAAUACAAGAUGGCAUCAUGAGUCCGCAUGUUCACAUGAUUAAAGGUAUUCCGGUAGACGAUGGGGAUGCGUUCCAUUAGAUAGUAGGCGGGGUAACGGCCCACCUAGUCUUCGAUGGAUAGGGGUUCUGAGAGGAAGGUCCCCCACAUUGGAACUGAGACACGGUCCAAACUCCUACGGGAGGCAGCAGUGAGGAAUAUUGGUCAAUGGGCGAGAGCCUGAACCAGCCAAGUAGCGUGAAGGAUGACUGCCCUAUGGGUUGUAAACUUCUUUUAUAAAGGAAUAAAGUCGGGUAUGCAUACCCGUUUGCACGUACUUUAUGAAUAAGGAUCGGCUAACUCCGUGCCAGCAGCCGCGGUAAUACGGAGGAUCCGAGCGUUAUCCGGAUUUAUUGGGUUUAAAGGGAGCGUAGAUGGAUGUUUAAGUCAGUUGUGAAAGUUUGCGGCUCAACCGUAAAAUUGCAGUUGAUACUGGAUAUCUUGAGUGCAGUUGAGGCAGGCGGAAUUCGUGGUGUAGCGGUGAAAUGCUUAGAUAUCACGAAGAACUCCGAUUGCGAAGGCAGCCUGCUAAGCUGCAACUGACAUUGAGGCUCGAAAGUGUGGGUAUCAAACAGGAUUAGAUACCCUGGUAGUCCACACGGUAAACGAUGAAUACUCGCUGUUUGCGAUAUACAGCAAGCGGCCAAGCGAAAGCGUUAAGUAUUCCACCUGGGGAGUACGCCGGCAACGGUGAAACUCAAAGGAAUUGACGGGGGCCCGCACAAGCGGAGGAACAUGUGGUUUAAUUCGAUGAUACGCGAGGAACCUUACCCGGGCUUAAAUUGCAGAUGAAUUACGGUGAAAGCCGUAAGCCGCAAGGCAUCUGUGAAGGUGCUGCAUGGUUGUCGUCAGCUCGUGCCGUGAGGUGUCGGCUUAAGUGCCAUAACGAGCGCAACCCUUGUUGUCAGUUACUAACAGGUUCCGCUGAGGACUCUGACAAGACUGCCAUCGUAAGAUGUGAGGAAGGUGGGGAUGACGUCAAAUCAGCACGGCCCUUACGUCCGGGGCUACACACGUGUUACAAUGGGGGGUACAGAGGGCCGCUACCACGCGAGUGGAUGCCAAUCCCAAAAACCUCUCUCAGUUCGGACUGGAGUCUGCAACCCGACUCCACGAAGCUGGAUUCGCUAGUAAUCGCGCAUCAGCCACGGCGCGGUGAAUACGUUCCCGGGCCUUGUACACACCGCCCGUCAAGCCAUGGGAGCCGGGGGUACCUGAAGUGCGUAACCGCGAGGAGCGCCCUAGGGUAAAACUGGUGACUGGGGCUAAGUCAUAAC
Molecule: ribosomal RNA, 1445 nt
Filed under: uncultured organism
Description: 16S ribosomal RNA
Rfam family: Bacterial small subunit ribosomal RNA
Source: RNAcentral